Molecule: ribosomal RNA, 687 nt
Filed under: Rhipicephalus turanicus
Lineage: Eukaryota; Metazoa; Arthropoda; Arachnida; Ixodida; Ixodidae
Description: 12S ribosomal RNA
Source: RNAcentral
GAAUUUGGUUUGGUUCGUAAGAAAAAACUUCUAAUUUUUUUAUACUUUUUCUUAAAAUAAUUUAUGGUAGAAAAUUCACUUUAUUUAAUAAUAAAAAAUUAUUAAGAAUUAGAAAAAUAAUCUAGCUAAAUUUGUGCCAGCAGCAGCGGUUAAACAAAUAGAAAAAUUCUUUUUUUAAGAAAUUUAACAAGACAUAUUAAAACUUUAUUGAAAAUUAAGGUGAAAUUUAUUUUUAAAAAUAAUGUAAAUAUAAUUGAAAUUCUAAAAUUAAACUAGGAUUAGAUACCCUAUUAUUUAAGAGCUUAACAUUGUAAGUAAAUAAAGAUUAUGAAAGCAAAAAAUUAUGGCGGUAUUUUAAGCUUUUCAGAGGAAUUUGCUCUUUAAUGGAUAAAACACCUAAAUCUUACUUAAAUUUGUUAAUUCAAUUUGUAUACCACUAUAAAAACAAUUUAUAACUUUAAUUGUUGGUAUUUAUUAAAUUAAAAUAUAUUAAGUCAAGGUGCAGUAAAAAUUUAAGGAUGAAGUGAAUUACAUUACUUUUUAGAGAAAUAAAUUUAAAAUAAUAUUUAGGAUUUGAAAGUAAAAUUAAAAUAUAAUGUUAAUUUGAAUUAAGCUCUAAAAUAUGUACAUAUCGCCCGUCACUCUUUUACAAGAUAAGUCGUAACAAAGUUAAAGUACUGGAAAGUG